This 274-nucleotide ribosomal RNA is filed under the name uncultured bacterium. RNAcentral's name for it is "partial 16S ribosomal RNA". It matches the Rfam family "Bacterial small subunit ribosomal RNA", at positions 523 to 796 of the family's 1533-position model. The record is from RNAcentral.
AUACAGAGGGUGCGAGCGUUAAUCGGAAUUACUGGGCGUAAAGCGCGCGCAGGCGGCCUGAUAAGUUGGAUGUGAAAGCCAACGGCUCAACCGUAGAACUGCAUCCAAAACUGUCAGGCUAGAGUGUGGGAGAGGAAGAUGGAAUUAGUUGUGUAGGGGUAAAAUCCGUAGAGAUAACUAGGAAUACCAAAAGCGAAGGCAAUCUUCUGGAACACUACUGACGCUGAGGCGCGAAGGCGUGGGGAGCAGACAGGAUUAGAAACCCCGGUAGUCC